UACGGAGGGUGCGAGCGUUGUCCGGAAUCAUUGGGCGUAAAGGGCGCGUAGGUGGCCCGGUCAGUUCGUGGUGAAAGCGCGGGGCUCAACCCUGCGUCGGCCAUGAAUACUGCCGCGGCUGGAGCACUGUAGAGGCAGGCGGAAUUCCGGGUGUAGCGGUGGAAUGCGUAGAGAUCCGGAAGAACACCGGUGGCGAAGGUGGCCUGCUGGGCAGUUGCUGACACUGAGGCGCGACAGCGUGGGGAGCAAACAGG
This 254-nucleotide ribosomal RNA is filed under the name uncultured bacterium. RNAcentral's name for it is "partial 16S ribosomal RNA". It matches the Rfam family "Bacterial small subunit ribosomal RNA", at positions 524 to 776 of the family's 1533-position model. The record is from RNAcentral.